This 65-nucleotide transfer RNA is filed under the name Amphiporus formidabilis. RNAcentral's name for it is "tRNA-Cys". The record is from RNAcentral. Lineage: Eukaryota; Metazoa; Nemertea; Enopla; Monostilifera; Amphiporidae.
GGCUUUAUAGUUGAGUAACAACGCUUAAUUGCAGAUUAAGAGGGGUGUAUAGUGUACUAAGGCUU